RNAcentral lists this unclassified non-coding RNA (200 nucleotides) under Botryobasidium sp. Its description in RNAcentral is "partial internal transcribed spacer 2". The record is from RNAcentral. Lineage: Eukaryota; Fungi; Basidiomycota; Agaricomycetes; Cantharellales; Botryobasidiaceae.
UUAAGUUCAGCGGGUAGUCCUACCCGAUUUGAGGUCAGAUGUCAGACGCAAAGGUCCGCUGUUGUCCCGAGGGACGGUUAGAAGCGGAAGGGUCGCAGGCUCAGGACCGGGGACUCUCGACGGGUGUGACUUAUCACGCCAAUGAGAGCCGGCAGAGCUAGCGUCUCUCGCUAAUGCAUUUAAGACGAGCCGGGCGGUGA